UGGGGAAUCUUGCACAAUGGGGGCAACCCUGAUGCAGCGACGCCGCGUGAGCGAUGAAGCCCUUCGGGGCGUAAAGCUCUUUCGACCGGAACGAUAAUGACGGUACCGGGAGAAGAAGCUGCGGCUAACUACGUGCCAGCAGCCGCGGUAAUACGUAGGCAGCAAGCGGUGUUCGGAGUUACUGGGCGUAAAGAGUGCGUAGGCGGUUUUCUAAGUUCGGUGUGAAAUCUCCCGGCUUAACUGGGAGGGUGCGCCGAAGACUGGGAAGCUGGAGUGUGGGAAAGGCAGGCGGAAUUCCUGGUGUAGCGGUGAAAUGCGUAGAUAUCAGGAGUAACACCGGCGGUGUAGACGGCUUGCUAGACCAUAACUGACGCUGAGGCACGAAAGCG
Molecule: ribosomal RNA, 389 nt
Filed under: uncultured bacterium
Lineage: Bacteria
Description: bacterial SSU rRNA
Rfam family: Bacterial small subunit ribosomal RNA
Source: RNAcentral